Juglans microcarpa x Juglans regia is the source of this 1121-nucleotide long non-coding RNA. RefSeq lists it as uncharacterized. The record is from RefSeq and is a predicted model, not a curated record. Lineage: Eukaryota; Viridiplantae; Streptophyta; Magnoliopsida; Fagales; Juglandaceae. The transcript has 4 exons.
GUGAUGUUGAUUGCAAAUACUACAUUUUUUGAACGAAUGAUGCACCCAAGAUUCUUUCCCAGUAAUGAGUUUGUCUUGCUAGUAUUUUUCUGGUCUAGCACCAUGCUUGCGCAUUAUGUUUUCUUGUAUUCUCACUUGAAUUAGGCUCUUCUCAGAUUUUUCAAACAUUAGUUGCUCUUUCUAGGCUAUUUUUUGCAUCUUUUCCUCAUUGAGAUAGAUAAGUCUAUGACCAUUUAAAUAGUCAGCAUACCUCAGUACCCGAGGGCCUUUUCCCGUUGCUCUUCCCUCUCUUUGGGAGCUUCAUGCUUCACUUUUCUUCCUGUCUAUAGAUUUUUUCUGUUUCCAACUAUGGUAGGGCAUGGUUUUUGUUUUCCUUACUUCUCAGGUUCAUAUGGAAAGCCUAAGAUCUCUAGGUUGUCCAUGAGAAUAGGUUGAUUGAUUGUCUUAUUUCAGGUUUGUCUUUAUAUAUAUAGACAUAUACAAAACUGAUGAUGUAUAUAAAAUUAUACGAAGUAGAACACAUAUAUACAUAAAUAGAAUAACUGGUUCCCAGUGCAUUUUAUUCUUGUGCCCCAAGAAAAAAAUUGCUUUGAAAAUUGGUUGUGAUGUAUUGGCUUCAAGAUACAUUCACUCGAGCCAAAAAAUGGGUUCAAGAAUUGCAUAGACAAUAAUUAGUGUGAUGGGGGAAGAGGAAGAUGGAAUGGCACCCAUGCCUUCGACUUGGUCUUCACAGUCAUUAAUGACGCCUCAAAAUGCAUUUGGAGAUGAGAACGAUUACCAUGCAAUUUCAAGUUCGAGGGAAGUUGUAUGAGCUACUUGUUAAUUGUAUUCCUCUAGAGAUCAUCCUGAAGGCUGCUCUAUGAAUUGUUGAAGAAAUUGGAUGUGGAACUAAAACAUGAGGUUUGUCAUUGGGCUACAUGGGUUCUGCAAGCAAUAUUUAUAGAGGAGUUUUGCUGUAUAUUAUUAUUACAAUGUAUAUCAGACUGUGUUAUUAAAGUAUUAGUACAAUGUAUAUUACAUUAAAGUGUAUAUUUCUGGUGACAUAUUAUUUAUGAAAAGUUUAUAGAACAGAAUUUUAAAUAGUGUUGCCAAAGAAAUACAAGGAUAAUAGAAGUUGGAGA